AACGAGGAGAGAGUAGGAAAUGCUUAUUGAAUUACAGCGAUUAAAGCCGUUCCCAACAGCGAUGCGCAGUCAAUUGAAGCGAUUGAAUUAAUUAAUUGCCACUGGCCCCCGGCGGUCGACAUGGGUUAAACCGAUAAUUGAACAACGACGCCGGCUCGAGUGGGCCCUAUAAACAAAUGGGGAGCAACCCCAAGCUCCAAGCUGCUUCUCAAGUUCGGAGUGGACGGCAAUCGGACGCCGCGCUUCUCCACUGAAUCAUCAUCCAAACAUUCGGACAAUUCUAUAUAUACUCGAUACUCUCUUUGGCAUCGGGAAAGAGUAUGAACACCAUUCCACUCAAGAGCCCAUUAAUUACGCGUGUGUGUGAAGAAUUCGCUCUUGAUCUCAGAUACUUUUAGCCGACAUAACCUCAAUCGGAAUGGGAGUGGGAAGUGGAAGUCGGUUGGCCAGAGAGCAGUUAACUAAGGGAGCAACCAAGAUUAAGCCAAGUCGCAGUGGGAGUUGGAGUUUGGCUCGAUUGUAAACGCUACGUGCAGCUAUGCUCAGAAUUUAGCUCACUAGUUAACGAAUUUUCAGGAGGAAUCAAAGUAGUUAUACGCCAGUCCACUACAGUUACAGUCAAAAUUGUAGUUCUAUAGCUACUGCAGCUACACUGUUUACAAAAGCGGAAACACAUAUGAGAGAUAUGCACCCUACAUUGUAUUGAAUAUAAAUCUUAAAUUGAAGUGCCUAUAUUUGACAUCUCAGGUUAAACGAAAAUCGAAUUCAUUAAAAAGAAUACCUUAGUUCAACUUCAAAAUAAAA
Long non-coding RNA from Drosophila yakuba, 804 nucleotides. RefSeq lists it as uncharacterized. The transcript is spliced from 2 exons. The record is from RefSeq and is a predicted model, not a curated record. NCBI's taxonomy places the organism in Eukaryota, Metazoa, Arthropoda, Insecta, Diptera, Drosophilidae.